Molecule: ribosomal RNA, 504 nt
Filed under: uncultured bacterium
Lineage: Bacteria
Description: partial 16S ribosomal RNA
Rfam family: Bacterial small subunit ribosomal RNA
Source: RNAcentral
GAUGAACGCUAGCGGCAGGCCUAAUACAUGCAAGUCGAACGGGAUCUGAGGGUAGCUUGCUACCCGAUUUGAGAGUGGCGCACGGGUGCGUAACGCGUGAGCAACCUACCCAUAUCAGGGGGAUAGCCCGAAGAAAUUAGGAUUAACACCGCAUAAUAAUACGCUAACACCUGUUAAUGUAUUUAAAUAUUUAUAGGAUAUGGAUGGGCUCGCGUGACAUUAGCUAGUUGGUAAGGUAACGGCUUACCAAGGCGACGAUGUCUAGGGGCUCUGAGAGGAGAAUCCCCCACACUGGUACUGAGACACGGACCAGACUCCUACGGGAGGCAGCAGUAAGGAAUAUUGGUCAAUGGGCGCAAGCCUGAACCAGCCAUGCCGCGUGCAGGAUGACUGCCCUAUGGGUUGUAAACUGCUUUUGUUAGGGAAUAAACCUACUUAUGUAUAAGUAGCUGAAUGUACCUAAAGAAUAAGGAUCGGCUAACUCCGUGCCAGCAGCCGCCGUAA